UACGUAGGGGCCUAGCGUUGUCCGGAUUUAUUGGGCGUAAAGAGCUCGUAGGCGGUUCGGUAAGUCAGGUGUGAAAUCUCCACGCUCAACGUGGAGGCGCCACCUGAAACUGCCGUGACUCGAGUCCGGUAGGGGAGUGUGGAAUUCCCGGUGUAGCGGUGAAAUGCGCAGAUAUCGGGAGGAACACCAGUAGCGAAGGCGGCUUGCUGGGCCAGUUCUGACGCUGAGGAGCGAAAGCGUGGGGAGCGAACAGG
Molecule: ribosomal RNA, 254 nt
Filed under: uncultured bacterium
Lineage: Bacteria
Description: partial 16S ribosomal RNA
Rfam family: Bacterial small subunit ribosomal RNA
Source: RNAcentral